UACGUAGGGUGCGAGCGUUGUCCGGAAUUAUUGGGCGUAAAGGGCUCGUAGGCGGUUUGUCGCGUCGGGAGUGAAAACCAGGUGCUUAACACCUGGCUUGCUUUCGAUACGGGCAGACUAGAGGUAGGUAGGGGAGAAUGGAAUUCCCGGUGUAGCGGUGAAAUGCGCAGAUAUCGGGAGGAACACCGGUGGCGAAGGCGGUUCUCUGGGCCUUACCUGACGCUGAGGAGCGAAAGCGUGGGGAGCGAACAGG
RNAcentral lists this ribosomal RNA (253 nucleotides) under uncultured bacterium. Its description in RNAcentral is "partial 16S ribosomal RNA". It matches the Rfam family "Bacterial small subunit ribosomal RNA", at positions 524 to 776 of the family's 1533-position model. The record is from RNAcentral.